Molecule: ribosomal RNA, 684 nt
Filed under: Triticum aestivum (bread wheat)
Lineage: Eukaryota; Viridiplantae; Streptophyta; Magnoliopsida; Poales; Poaceae
Description: partial small subunit ribosomal RNA
Source: RNAcentral
AUGGUUUUCCGGGACCUACGCCUAUUUAACCAAGCCCUCCUUGCUAAACAGGCGUGGCGACUUAUUCAAUUUCUGGACAGCUUAUGUGCUAGAUUAUUGAAGGCAAGAUAUUAUCCACAUGGCAACCUGGCUGAUACUGCCUUUAUCCAGAACGCAUCUCCGUGUUGGCAAGGAAUCUUUCAUGGUCUAGAUCUUCUUAAGAAAUGCAUUAUCUAGAGAAUUGGUGUAGGCGAUAAAGUUAAAGUAUGGAGGGAUAAUUGGAUUCCAAGGGGAAAUCUAAAAAUCUCCGGGAAACAAUCUCGAACUAGGAUAAAAUGGGUCUCUGAGCUUAUCGACCCAGUGUCAAGGACAUGGAAUGAGGAAUUGGUUAGGAACAUAUUCCUACCUCAUAAUGUGGAUGAAGUGUUAAAAAUUCGUCUCUCACAGUCUAACUCCGAGGAUUUUAUUGCAUGGCAUUUUGAAUGCUCCAGUGUAUUCUCAGUUCGUAGUGCGUACAGGCUGGCUGUUAAUGAUAAGGAUGGGAAUGGUGAUAUGGGACAAAGUAGUACCGAGCCAUCUGGAGAAAGAAAGAUCUGGAGUGUGCUUUGGAAAGCAAAUGCCCCUCCCCCCAAAUUAGAAACUUUGGAUGGCGUUUGGCGACAGAAUCUCUUGGAGUUCAGACAAAUAGACAUAAGAGAGAUUUAG